RNAcentral lists this small RNA (337 nucleotides) under Pongo abelii (Sumatran orangutan). RNAcentral describes it as "processed transcript". The record is from RNAcentral. Lineage: Eukaryota; Metazoa; Chordata; Mammalia; Primates; Hominidae.
AGUGUUCGCGGGAGCGCCGCACCUACACCAGCCAACCCAGAUCCCGAGGUCCGACAGCGCCCGGCCCAGAUCCCCACGCCGGCCAGGAGCAAGCCGAGAGCCAACCGGCCGGCGCACUCCGACUCCGAGCAGUCUCUGUCCUUCGGCCCGAGCCCCGCGCCCUUUCCGGGACCCCUGCCCCGCGGGCAGCGCUGCCACCCUGCCGGCCAUGGAGACCCCGUCCCAGCGGCGCGCCACCCGCAGCGGGGCGCAGGCCAGCUCCACUCCGCUGUCGCCCACCCGCAUCACCCGGCUGCAGGAGAAGGAGGACCUGCAGGAGCUCAAUGAUCGCUUGGCG